UUGCAGUGCUGGGGAUUGAACCCAUAGACUCCUGUAUGCUCGCCAGGCCCUCUAGAGAGAGGAACUAUAUCCCUAAAACAAUAUAAGAUAGUUCCUGACAGUGGACAUUGGAUUUUCUUCCCACAAAAGAAAGAAAGUCCGAGGACUCUGUACUGGAUUAGCGUUUUCCAAAGUUCAUGUCCAUUUGGAACCUACAAAUAGGGUCCUUGUAAUGUAUUCAAAUGAAGAUGUACCGGAUGGUGUGGCUGCAAAUGAAGGAAAGAUGGCCAGAAAUCAUCAGGAGCCAGGAAGAGGGUCUUAAAAGCCAACUUUGUGGUUUCUCAAAGCUGAUUUUUUACCAGUGGGAGAGGCAGGCUGCUGCUUUCCAGGGGAAGCAGCCAGAAGUGCUUGUGUAGAGACAAAGGUGUGCAAUGCAGGCACGGAGACAUUAGCUAAGUAUUUUCCGGAUCACUCGUCCAGUACAUUUGUAUUCAGAUCUGACUUGAGAGUCUGCACCCUUCUGCAUUCCUGAUAUUUCUGCUUCUCCCAGAGAGAUUUAUAGAACCCCGGACAUCUGGUGACCUACAAGUAGCAGCAGUGUCUCAUCAGAAAAGCAGAUAAGCCAACAUUUGUGACUACCCUGGAAUUUGUAGCCAUCCUCAUGCUUACCCAUCCAAUAUGCCUUCC
This 666-nucleotide long non-coding RNA is filed under the name Heterocephalus glaber (naked mole-rat). RNAcentral's name for it is "lncRNA (ENSHGLG00000044897.1)". The record is from RNAcentral. Lineage: Eukaryota; Metazoa; Chordata; Mammalia; Rodentia; Bathyergidae.